CAUUGUACUUGAAAGAUACAAUGAGCACAAGACAGGGUGAGCCGCAUGUGUCUCAGAAUGAUCUGUUAUACUACGUUGACGACCGACAUCUGCUGCCUCAAGAACCAGCCGUCAAAUACAAGGUUUUGAAGCUUAAACACAAGUCGCGGCGAAGUGGCGGAGAGCGGCUAAUCCAAGAGGAGAGUAAGGAUGGCGUGGCCAUCAUCAACCUCGGAGGUGGACCGUUUCCAGAAUUCCGGCUGCCACGCUCACGCAGGCAAUACAUGCACGACUUCGGAGAACUCGUCAGUGACGAGGAUGACCUACUUCCCCACCUGAAUGACUCUUCGCCUCACUUCCGCAAAACAGAAGCUCCGAGGAAUGAAGAGCUUAAUAGUAUCUAAGUCUUCAUGUAUCAAAGAAAAUUUAUUUAUUAAAUAUCCUACUGGCCUAUUUAA
Molecule: long non-coding RNA, 437 nt
Organism: Pieris rapae (cabbage white)
Lineage: Eukaryota; Metazoa; Arthropoda; Insecta; Lepidoptera; Pieridae
Exons: 2
Source: RefSeq, a predicted model, not a curated record